GAUGAACGCUGGCGGCGUGCCUAAUACAUGCAAGUCGAGCGAACAGACGAGGAGCUUGCUCCUCUGACGUUAGCGGCGGACGGGUGAGUAACACGUGGAUAACCUACCUAUAAGACUGGGAUAACUUCGGGAAACCGGAGCUAAUACCGGAUAAUAUAUUGAACCGCAUGGUUCAAUAGUGAAAGACGGUUUUGCUGUCACUUAUAGAUGGAUCCGCGCCGCAUUAGCUAGUUGGUAAGGUAACGGCUUACCAAGGCAACGAUGCGUAGCCGACCUGAGAGGGUGACCGGCCACACUGGAACUGAGACACGGUCCAGACUCCUACGGGAGGCAGCAGUAGGGAAUCUUCCGCAAUGGGCGAAAGCCUGACGGAGCAACGCCGCGUGAGUGAUGAAGUUCUUCGGAUCGUAAAACUCUGUUAUUAGGGAAGAACAAAUGUGUAAGUAACUAUGCACGUCUUGACGGUACCUAAUCAGAAAGCCACGGCUAACUACGUG
This 497-nucleotide ribosomal RNA is filed under the name uncultured bacterium. RNAcentral's name for it is "partial 16S ribosomal RNA". It matches the Rfam family "Bacterial small subunit ribosomal RNA", at positions 28 to 507 of the family's 1533-position model. The record is from RNAcentral.